UGGCUCAGGACCGAACGCUGGCGGCGUGCCUAAUACAUGCAAGUAGAACGCUGAAGAGAGGAGCUUGCUCUUCUUGGAUGAGUUGCGAACGGGUGAGUAACGCGUAGGUAACCUGCCUUGUAGCGGGGGAUAACUAUUGGAAACGAUAGCUAAUACCGCAUAACAAUGGAUGACCCAUGUCAUUUAUUUGAAAGGGGCAAAUGCUCCACUACAAGAUGGACCUGCGUUGUAUUAGCUAGUAGGUGAGGUAACGGCUCACCUAGGCGACGAUACAUAGCCUUCCUGAGAGGGAAUCGGCCACACUGGGACUGAGACACGC
Molecule: ribosomal RNA, 319 nt
Filed under: Streptococcus salivarius
Lineage: Bacteria; Bacillati; Bacillota; Bacilli; Lactobacillales; Streptococcaceae
Description: bacterial SSU rRNA
Rfam family: Bacterial small subunit ribosomal RNA
Source: RNAcentral